AUGGCUCAGGAUAAACGCUGGCGGCGUGCCUAAUACAUGCAAGUCGAACGAGGAGUUCUGUAGCAAUACGGGAACUCCUAGUGGCGAAUGGGUGAGUAACGCGUUGGUGACCUGCCCCAAAGAGAGGAACAACUCCGGGAAACUGGAGCUAAUACCUCAUGUGGCUACCAGGGUUAGAGGCCUGGUAUCUGAAGGAGCAAUCCGCUUUGGGAGGGACCUGCGUCCCAUCAGCUAGUUGGUAGGGUAACGGCCUACCAAGGCGACGACGGGUAGGGGCCUGAGGGGGUGGCCCCCCACACUGGAACUGAAACACGGUCCAGACACCUACGGGUGGCAGCAGUAGGGAAUAUUGCACAAUGGGCGAAAGCCUGAUGCAGCAACGCCGCGUGAACGAUGAAGUACCGUUCGGGUUAGUAAAGUUCUUUUCUGAAGGACGAGGAAGGACGGUACUUCAGGAAUAAGGAUCGGCUAACUACGUGCCAGCAGCAGC
Molecule: ribosomal RNA, 490 nt
Filed under: uncultured bacterium
Lineage: Bacteria
Description: bacterial SSU rRNA
Rfam family: Bacterial small subunit ribosomal RNA
Source: RNAcentral